This 357-nucleotide ribosomal RNA is filed under the name uncultured bacterium. Its description in RNAcentral is "bacterial SSU rRNA". It matches the Rfam family "Bacterial small subunit ribosomal RNA", at positions 8 to 350 of the family's 1533-position model. The record is from RNAcentral.
AGAGUUUGAUCAUGGCUCAGGAUGAACGCUAGCUACAGGCUUAACACAUGCAAGUCGAGGGGAAACGACAUCGAAAGCUUGCUUUUGAUGGGCGUCGACCGGCGCACGGGUGAGUAACGCGUAUCCAACCUGCCCAUCACUUGGGGAUAACCUUGCGAAAGUAAGACUAAUACCCAAUGAUAUCUCUAGAAGGCAUCUGAAAGAGAUUAAAGAUUUAUCGGUGAUGGAUGGGGAUGCGUCUGAUUAGCUUGUUGGGGGGUAACCCCCCCGGNACCAAAGCAACGAUCAGUAGGGGUUCUGAGAGGAAGGUCCCCCCACAUUGGAACUGAGACACGGUCCAAACUCCUACGGGAGGCA